AUUUUCCCAUUUAAAAAACUAGUUGGUGGCAGUUUAUGGAUUCGCACGAGAAGAAGAGACAUUUCACAGAACAGCAUUACUUUACCUUCUGUUUCUACUGAGGUGUGUAUCUGGUUGUUCUGUGAGACAGAC
RNAcentral lists this small nucleolar RNA (132 nucleotides) under Ictidomys tridecemlineatus (thirteen-lined ground squirrel). Its description in RNAcentral is "Small nucleolar RNA SNORA75 (ENSSTOG00000020355.1)". Lineage: Eukaryota; Metazoa; Chordata; Mammalia; Rodentia; Sciuridae. The record is from RNAcentral.